RNAcentral lists this ribosomal RNA (497 nucleotides) under uncultured bacterium. Its description in RNAcentral is "partial 16S ribosomal RNA". It matches the Rfam family "Bacterial small subunit ribosomal RNA", at positions 28 to 507 of the family's 1533-position model. The record is from RNAcentral.
GAUGAACGCUGGCGGCGUGCCUAAUACAUGCAAGUCGAGCGAACGGACGAGAAGCUUGCUUCUCUGAUGUUAGCGGCGGACGGGUGAGUAACACGUGGAUAACCUACCUAUAAGACUGGGAUAACUUCGGGAAACCGGAGCUAAUACCGGAUAAUAUUUUGAACCGCAUGGUUCAAAAGUAAAAGACGGUCUUGCUGUCACUUAUAGAUGGAACAGCGCUGCAUUAGCUAGUUGGUAAGGUAACGGCUUACCAAGGCAACGAUGCAUAGCCGACCUGAGAGGGUGAGCGGCCACACUGGAACUGAGACACGGUCCAGACUCCUACGGGAGGCAGCAGUAGGGAAUCUUCCGCAAUGGGCGAAAGCCUGACGGAGCAACGCCGCGUGAGUGAUGAAGGUCUUCGGAUCGUAAAACUCUGUUAUUAGGGAAGAACAUAUGUGUAAGUAACUGUGCACAUCUUGACGGUACCUAAUCAGAAAGCCACGGCUAACUACGUG